AGGAAACAGGAAAAUCUUUUACUGUUUGAGGAUUGUCUCAGUGAAGUAUUAGGUAACAAGUUGAGCAGAAACAGGUGGGUAGGGUUUGAAGAGUGAGGAAAAGAGAUGAGACAGUCUUUCUAAGGAGGGAAAUAAGUUUCCUCAUGGAUCGAUAAUAAUUGCAGCAGGGUUUUAAAUGUAACCUUAUAAGCCCAACACCCCCCCCCCCCAAAAGAAAGAGAGGAGUCAUUUUGCUGAUACUGAGAAAUGAAUUUGGACUCCUGGCUGGUGUUGAAUCACCUCUUGUGAGAUUAUCAGCAAUUGUCAGCUGUAUGAGUGUGGACAUGGAAAGGGCACAUGGUAAUUACAUUCAUGGCUGUUGGAGGGACAGAGAGAAAAAGUAAUGUGUUCAAAAGAGAUUGAUUGUAACAUUGGGCCAUCCAUUCAAACCUGAAGAAGAAAUAUUAUAAAGAAGAAGUGAAGAAAGAGGAUAAUGGAGAGGUCAAUGGAUGACAGGUCUUCAUGAUGCUGUCCACCCACUUGAACGCUAAAACAAUACACAAUGACAUUGGACCUCUCUGGGUUUUCAUCGCUGAUCACACCUUUCUGCCUUUCCUCAGAGGUAUUAGGCAACAUGGAGGAAAACAAUCCCCAGAAGAGUCAGAAGGAAUAAAAAUCCACCUUAAUGAUCACCAGGUUCCAAUUUAUUUCAUUAUGCAGAUUCUAUUCUAAAGAAACCCCCUCUGUAGGAAGAUCUAGGGGAGAAGUCUAUAAAGUAAUUUUUGUCAGGAAAGCCUCAACUGGAAAGCCAAUGGAUAUGAGAGAGACACCAGAGCAGUUGGGGACACCAAACAUGACAGCAUGUGGUGUCCACCACAAAAUGGGCAAACUAUAAUUUAUUUGUGAAAGGAAUUUCUGGAGAAGAAAAUAAACAACGCUGCCCAAAUAUCAUCAAAAAACCAUAAAGCAGCAGUAAGACAUCUGCCUCCUCCUGUAGACACCACUCACUUGGAUCUUUGAUAUACAUCCCAAACGCUGCUUUGGUUCUGCCAUUUACCCCCUAAAAAUUCACCAAGUCUCUCUAAUGCUACCAAAAUAAAGUCUCAUAUACACAAA
Long non-coding RNA from Suricata suricatta (meerkat), 1095 nucleotides. RefSeq lists it as uncharacterized. The transcript is spliced from 5 exons. The record is from RefSeq and is a predicted model, not a curated record. Lineage: Eukaryota; Metazoa; Chordata; Mammalia; Carnivora; Herpestidae.